Molecule: ribosomal RNA, 301 nt
Filed under: uncultured bacterium
Lineage: Bacteria
Description: partial 16S ribosomal RNA
Rfam family: Bacterial small subunit ribosomal RNA
Source: RNAcentral
CAGUCGCCGCGGUAAUACGUAGGGUGCAAGCGUUGUCCGGAAUUAUUGGGCGUAAAGAGCUCGUAGGCGGUGUUGUAAGACUGAUGUGAAAUCCCCGGGCUCAACCUGGGAACUGCAUUGGUGACUGCAACGCUGGAGUGCGGCAGAGGGGGAUGGAAUUCCGCGUGUAGCAGUGAAAUGCGUAGAUAUGCGGAGGAACACCAGUGGCGAAGGCGGCUUACUGGCUCAUACUGGACGCUGAGGUGCGAAAGCGUGGGGAGCAAACAGGAUUAGAUACCCGGGUAGUCCCCUGUCUCUUAUA